Molecule: long non-coding RNA, 508 nt
Filed under: Acromyrmex echinatior (Panamanian leafcutter ant)
Lineage: Eukaryota; Metazoa; Arthropoda; Insecta; Hymenoptera; Formicidae
Description: uncharacterized LOC105144824, transcript variant X3
Source: RNAcentral
UCAUAAAUGACAUGAUACAAAUACAAAAGCAAUAAAAGAAGCAAAUAUGGAAGCAAAUGCUGGAUAAGCAAGUUUUAUUAGCAAAAUGAAAGCUUAUUAUCAUUUGAUUACAUCGGAAAAUGAAGAUAUUAAUUGUAAAAGCACGUUUAGGAUACAACACUAAGGCCACUUGUAAAAACAUGAAAGAAGUACGAAUUUGAGCAUUGAGCACCGAUACGAAGGGAAACACCUGAAAAGUGUAGAAUUAAAUCGACUGUUAAAAUCCUCCGUAAGCAUGGGACGUUACACCUUCACUCAAUAUUAUAUACAGCUGGCAAUUCGGAUACGGAUAUCCCAUUAAGCUGUACAUGAAAUCACUCAAAAAACAUUGGAGACCUUGAAUCUUCUAAGAGCUAUGAGGGCGCUGAUAAAAUAUCGUGUGGUAUCCUUAAGUGACCUGUUAAUCCACUGCCCGAAGCAAUAUGUGCUAAAAACGUGAUGAUCGCGGAUAUCACAGGUAUAGCAGGCG